AGUGAACGCUGGCGGUAGGCCUAACACAUGCAAGUCGAACGGCAGCACAGUAAGAGCUUGCUCUUACGGGUGGCGAGUGGCGGACGGGUGAGGAAUACAUCGGAAUCUACUUUUUCGUGGGGGAUAACGUAGGGAAACUUACGCUAAUACCGCAUAUGACCUACGGGUGAAAGCAGGGGAUCUUCGGACCUUGCGCGAUUGAAUGAGCCGAUGUCGGAUUAGCUAGUUGGCGGGGUAAAGGCCCACCAAGGCGACGAUCCGUAGCUGGUCUGAGAGGAUGAUCAGCCACACUGGAACUGAGACACGGUCCAGACUCCUACGGGAGGCAGCAGUGGGGAAUAUUGGACAAUGGGCGCAAGCCUGAUGCAGCCAUACCGCGUGGGUGAAGAAGGCCUUCGGGUUGUAAAGCCCUUUUGUUGGGAAAGAAAAGCAGCAGGUUAAUACCCCGCUGUUCUGACGGUACCCAAAGAAUAAGCACCGGCUAACUUCGUG
This 492-nucleotide ribosomal RNA is filed under the name uncultured bacterium. RNAcentral describes it as "partial 16S ribosomal RNA". It matches the Rfam family "Bacterial small subunit ribosomal RNA", at positions 29 to 507 of the family's 1533-position model. The record is from RNAcentral.